GGCUCAAUGGUCUAGUAGUAUGAUUCCCGCUUCGGGAGUCUCUCCCCCGAGCAUUGCUCGGAUAAUCUAAAUGCGGGAGGUCUCGGGUUCAAUUCCCGAUUGAGCCC
This is a non-coding RNA of Steccherinum ochraceum, 107 nucleotides long. The record is from the annotation of a GenBank genome assembly. Lineage: Eukaryota; Fungi; Basidiomycota; Agaricomycetes; Polyporales; Steccherinaceae.